Molecule: ribosomal RNA, 472 nt
Filed under: uncultured bacterium
Lineage: Bacteria
Description: SSU rRNA
Rfam family: Bacterial small subunit ribosomal RNA
Source: RNAcentral
AGGACGAACGCUGGCGGCGUGCUUAACACAUGCAAGUCGAACGGAAAGGCCCGCUUGCGGGUACUCGAGUGGCGAACGGGUGAGUAACACGUGGGCAACCUGCCCUCAGCUCUGGGAUAACUCCGGGAAACCGGUGCUAAUACUGGAUAUCGACUUCUGCCUCGCAUGGGGUGUUGUUGAAAGUUUUUCGGCUGGGGAUGGGCCCGCGGCCUAUCAGCUUGUUGGUGGGGUGAUGGCCUACCAAGGCGACGACGGGUAGCCGGCCUGAGAGGGCGACCGGCCACACUGGGACUGAGACACGGCCCAGACUCCUACGGGAGGCAGCAGUUAGGAAUUUUCGGCAAUGGACGAAAGUCUGACCGAGCGACGCCGCGUGGAGGAUGACGCCUUUCGGGGUGUAAACUCCUUUCUGCGGAAGAUAAUGACGGUACCGCAGGAAUAAGCACCGGCUAACUACGUGCCAGCAGCCGAC